GGUUAAGCGACUAAGCGUACACGGUGGAUGCCCUGGCAGUCAGAGGCGAUGAAGGACGUGCUAAUCUGCGAUAAGCGUCGGUGAGGUGAUAUGAACCGUUAUAACCGGCGAUUUCCGAAUGGGGAAACCCAGUGUGUUUCGACACACUAUCAUUAACUGAAUCCAUAGGUUAAUGAGGCGAACCGGGGGAACUGAAACAUCUAAGUACCCCGAGGAAAAGAAAUCAACCGAGAUUCCCCCAGUAGCGGCGAGCGAACGGGGAGGAGCCCAGAGCCUGAAUCAGUGUGUGUGUUAGUGGAAGCGUCUGGAAAGGCGCGCGAUACAGGGUGACAGCCCCGUACACAAAAAUGCACAUAUUGUGAGCUCGAUGAGUAGGGCGGGACACGUGGUAUCCUGUCUGAAUAUGGGGGGACCAUCCUCCAAGGCUAAAUACUCCUGACUGACCGAUAGUGAACCAGUACCGUGAGGGAAAGGCGAAAAGAACCCCGGCGAGGGGAGUGAAAAAGAACCUGAAACCGUGUACGUACAAGCAGUGGGAGCCUCUUAAUGGGGUGACUGCGUACCUUUUGUAUAAUGGGUCAGCGACUUAUAUUCUGUAGCAAGGUUAACCGAAUAGGGGAGCCGAAGGGAAACCGAGUCUUAACUGGGCGUUAAGUUGCAGGGUAUAGACCCGAAACCCGGUGAUCUAGCCAUGGGCAGGUUGAAGGUUGGGUAACACUAACUGGAGGACCGAACCGACUAAUGUUGAAAAAUUAGCGGAUGACUUGUGGCUGGGGGUGAAAGGCCAAUCAAACCGGGAGAUAGCUGGUUCUCCCCGAAAGCUAUUUAGGUAGCGCCUCGUGAAUUCAUCUCCGGGGGUAGAGCACUGUUUCGGCAAGGGGGUCAUCCCGACUUACCAACCCGAUGCAAACUGCGAAUACCGGAGAAUGUUAUCACGGGAGACACACGGCGGGUGCUAACGUCUGUCGUGAAGAGGGAAACAACCCAGACCGCCAGCUAAGGUCCCAAAGUCAUGGUUAAGUGGGAAACGAUGUGGGAAGGCCCAGACAGCCAGGAUGUUGGCUUAGAAGCAGCCAUCAUUUAAAGAAAGCGUAAUAGCUCACUGGUCGAGUCGGCCUGCGCGGAAGAUGUAACGGGGCUAAACCAUGCACCGAAGCUGCGGCAGCGACACUAUGUGUUGUUGGGUAGGGGAGCGUUCUGUAAGCCUGUGAAGGUGGCCUGUGAGGGUUGCUGGAGGUAUCAGAAGUGCGAAUGCUGACAUAAGUAACGAUAAAGCGGGUGAAAAGCCCGCUCGCCGGAAGACCAAGGGUUCCUGUCCAACGUUAAUCGGGGCAGGGUGAGUCGACCCCUAAGGCGAGGCCGAAAGGCGUAGUCGAUGGGAAACAGGUUAAUAUUCCUGUACUUGGUGUUACUGCGAAGGGGGGACGGAGAAGGCUAUGUUGGCCGGGCGACGGUUGUCCCGGUUUAAGCGUGUAGGCUGGUUUUCCAGGCAAAUCCGGAAAACCAAGGCUGAGGCGUGAUGACGAGGCACUACGGUGCUGAAGCGACAAAUGCCCUGCUUCCAGGAAAAGCCUCUAAGCAUCAGGUAACAUCAAAUCGUACCCCAAACCGACACAGGUGGUCAGGUAGAGAAUACCAAGGCGCUUGAGAGAACUCGGGUGAAGGAACUAGGCAAAAUGGUGCCGUAACUUCGGGAGAAGGCACGCUGAUAUGUAGGUGAAGCGACUUGCUCGUGGAGCUGAAAUCAGUCGAAGAUACCAGCUGGCUGCAACUGUUUAUUAAAAACACAGCACUGUGCAAACACGAAAGUGGACGUAUACGGUGUGACGCCUGCCCGGUGCCGGAAGGUUAAUUGAUGGGGUUAGCGGUAACGCGAAGCUCUUGAUCGAAGCCCCGGUAAACGGCGGCCGUAACUAUAACGGUCCUAAGGUAGCGAAAUUCCUUGUCGGGUAAGUUCCGACCUGCACGAAUGGCGUAAUGAUGGCCAGGCUGUCUCCACCCGAGACUCAGUGAAAUUGAACUCGCUGUGAAGAUGCAGUGUACCCGCGGCAAGACGGAAAGACCCCGUGAACCUUUACUAUAGCUUGACACUGAACAUUGAGCCUUGAUGUGUAGGAUAGGUGGGAGGCUUUGAAGUGUGGACGCCAGUCUGCAUGGAGCCGACCUUGAAAUACCACCCUUUAAUGUUUGAUGUUCUAACGUGGGCCCCUAAUCGGGGUUGCGGACAGUGUCUGGUGGGUAGUUUGACUGGGGCGGUCUCCUCCUAAAGAGUAACGGAGGAGCACGAAGGUUGGCUAAUCCUGGUCGGACAUCAGGAGGUUAGUGCAAUGGCAUAAGCCAGCUUGACUGCGAGCGUGACGGCGCGAGCAGGUGCGAAAGCAGGUCAUAGUGAUCCGGUGGUUCUGAAUGGAAGGGCCAUCGCUCAACGGAUAAAAGGUACUCCGGGGAUAACAGGCUGAUACCGCCCAAGAGUUCAUAUCGACGGCGGUGUUUGGCACCUCGAUGUCGGCUCAUCACAUCCUGGGGCUGAAGUAGGUCCCAAGGGUAUGGCUGUUCGCCAUUUAAAGUGGUACGCGAGCUGGGUUUAGAACGUCGUGAGACAGUUCGGUCCCUAUCUGCCGUGGGCGCUGGAGAACUGAGGGGGGCUGCUCCUAGUACGAGAGGACCGGAGUGGACGCAUCACUGGUGUUCGGGUUGUCAUGCCAAUGGCACUGCCCGGUAGCUAAAUGCGGAAGAGAUAAGUGCUGAAAGCAUCUAAGCACGAAACUUGCCCCGAGAUGAGUUCUCCCUGAGACUUAGAGUCUCCUGAAGGAACGUUGAAGACGACGACGUUGAUAGGCCGGGUGUGUAAGCGCAGCGAUGCGUUGAGCUAACCGGUACUAAUGAACCGUGAGGCUUAACCUU
RNAcentral lists this ribosomal RNA (2904 nucleotides) under Escherichia coli. RNAcentral's name for it is "23S ribosomal RNA". It matches the Rfam family "Bacterial large subunit ribosomal RNA". Lineage: Bacteria; Pseudomonadati; Pseudomonadota; Gammaproteobacteria; Enterobacterales; Enterobacteriaceae. The record is from RNAcentral.